Molecule: long non-coding RNA, 588 nt
Organism: Amphibalanus amphitrite
Lineage: Eukaryota; Metazoa; Arthropoda; Thecostraca; Balanomorpha; Balanidae
Exons: 2
Source: RefSeq, a predicted model, not a curated record
UGCUGUGAUAAUGAAAUCAAAACACAUGCAUCCUGCAUCCAUGAAAGUGGAUAGACAAGACAUGCACUACUACAUGUAUGCUGUGCCUGGCUCAAGAUUCCUAUAUGUAGCCAGGCUGCCCUACCGACACUGGUAAAAUGAAUGCUUCCUUGAACAAAGCUAACCAAAGGUGCCAUCAACUGUCUUAAUCUGAACAGGAAGGAAGCCUAGUUUUCAACAUAGACAACAGCUUGUGUGAAGCUGUCACUUUCAGGGUGUGCACCACCCAGUGUUCAUUUGUUAACAUCAAUAAUGUGUGACCACGAAAGGAAACCCUUCUGAAGGUAACAUCUCUCGACCAUUCUAAGAUCCUGUUAACAAUCCACUACCUUAAUAUUAACAGGUCUUUUAAAUAACCAUGCAUUAACUAUUCCUCUGAUAAUGCUUGUUAUGUUUUCAAAUAGGUUAAUGUUCUUUCAUCCUGAUUUUUCAAAGAUAAGUAUCACUUGAGUUUGUUUUUAUUGCAAGUGUGAUGCAUGUAAUUUCAUCUUCAUGUUUUCUCAGAUCGAAGAUCCUGCUCGCAGCUAUGCCUCAUUGCCUACCAUGGCC